AACGAACGCUGGCGGCGCGCCUAAUACAUGCAAGUCGAGCGAGAAGGUGUAGCAAUACACUUGUAAAGCGGCGAACGGGUGAGGAAUACAUGGGUAAUCUACCAUCGAGUGGGGAAUAACCAACCGAAAGGUUGGCUAAUACCGCGUACGCCUCCGAGUCUUCGGGUUCGGAGGGAAAGCUGCACUGUGAGUGUAGCGCUCUUUGAUGAGCUCAUGUCCUAUCAGCUUGUUGGUAGGGUAACGGCCUACCAAGGCUUUGACGGGUAGCUGGUCUGAGAGGACGAUCAGCCACACUGGCACUGCGACACGGGCCAGACUCCUACGGGAGGCAGCAGUAAGGAAUAUUGCGCAAUGGGCGAAAGCCUGACGCAGCGACGCCGCGUGGGGAUGAAGGUCUUCGGAUUGUAAACCCUUUCGGAGGGAAGAUGGAACGAGCAAUCGUUCGGACGGUACCUCCAGAAGCAGCCACGGCCAACUUCGUGCCAGCAGCCG
Molecule: ribosomal RNA, 492 nt
Filed under: uncultured bacterium
Lineage: Bacteria
Description: bacterial SSU rRNA
Rfam family: Bacterial small subunit ribosomal RNA
Source: RNAcentral